CUUCUCCUGAAUCGUCCGUAUAAUACGGGGUUGCAUUAAUUCAAUGAAACUGUUUUUGUCGCUGUUUCCGAUAAGUCUUUCAGUUACCUCCGUAUCAUGCACAACAUGCACCGUGGUUUUUUUUUCGACAACCAGUAAUUUUUUUUUAAAUUUCACCACGCGAUUCGUUUUAAGUAUCAGGAAUAUACAAUAGAACACAUUUUGCACAUGUA
This 212-nucleotide long non-coding RNA is filed under the name Mytilus galloprovincialis (Mediterranean mussel). The record is from RNAcentral. Lineage: Eukaryota; Metazoa; Mollusca; Bivalvia; Mytilida; Mytilidae.